This 590-nucleotide ribosomal RNA is filed under the name uncultured bacterium. RNAcentral's name for it is "bacterial SSU rRNA". It matches the Rfam family "Bacterial small subunit ribosomal RNA", at positions 337 to 916 of the family's 1533-position model. The record is from RNAcentral.
CCCUACGGGAGGCAGCAGUAGGGAAUCUUCCGCAAUGGACGAAAGUCUGACGGAGCAACGCCGCGUGAACGAUGAAGGCCUUCGGGUCGUAAAGUUCUGUUGUUAGGGAAGAACAAGUGCUAGUUAAAUAAGCUGGCACCUUGACGGUACCUAACCAGAAAGCCACGGCUAACUACGUGCCAGCAGCCGCGGUAAUACGUAGGUGGCAAGCGUUGUCCGGAAUUAUUGGGCGUAAAGCGCGCGCAGGCGGUUUCUUAAGUCUGAUGUGAAAGCCCCCGGCUCAACCGGGGAGGGUCAUUGGAAACUGGGAAACUUGAGUGCAGAAGAGGAAAGUGGAAUUCCAAGUGUAGCGGUGAAAUGCGUAGAGAUUUGGAGGAACACCAGUGGCGAAGGCGACUUUCUGGUCUGUAACUGACGCUGAGGCGCGAAAGCGUGGGGAGCAAACAGGAUUAGAUACCCUGGUAGUCCACGCUGUAAACGAUGAGUGUUAAGUGUUAGAGGGUUUCCGCCCUUUAGUGCUGAAGUUAACGCAUUAAGCACUCCGCCUGGGGAGUACGGUCGCAAGACUGAAACUCAAAAGGAAUUGACGG